GUGCCAGCAGCUGCGGUGAUACGUAGGGUGCGAGCGUUGUCCGGAAUUAUUGGGCGUAGAGGGCUCGUAGGCGGUCUGUCACGUCGGAAGUGAAAACUCGGGGCUUAACCCCGAGCCUGCUUCCGAUACGGGCAGACUAGAGGAAUGCAGGGGAGAAUGGAAUACCUGGUGGAGCGGUGGAAUGCGCAGAUAUCAGGUGGAACACC
This 206-nucleotide ribosomal RNA is filed under the name uncultured Microlunatus sp. Its description in RNAcentral is "partial 16S ribosomal RNA". It matches the Rfam family "Bacterial small subunit ribosomal RNA", at positions 505 to 710 of the family's 1533-position model. The record is from RNAcentral. Lineage: Bacteria; Bacillati; Actinomycetota; Actinomycetes; Propionibacteriales; Propionibacteriaceae.